Molecule: ribosomal RNA, 440 nt
Filed under: uncultured bacterium
Lineage: Bacteria
Description: partial 16S ribosomal RNA
Rfam family: Bacterial small subunit ribosomal RNA
Source: RNAcentral
CCUACGGGCGGCAGCAGUGGGGGAUAUUGCACAAUGGGGGAAACCCUGAUGCAGCGACGCCGCGUGAGUGAAGAAGUAUUUCGGUAUGUAAAGCUCUAUCAGCAGGGAAGAAAAUGACAGUACCUGACCAAGAAGCCCCGGCUAACUACGUGCCAGCAGCCGCGGUACUACGUAGGGGGCAAGCGUUAUCCGGAUUUACUGGGUGUAAAGGGAGCGUAGACGGGUAUGUAAGUCUGGAGUGAAAGCCCGGGGCCCAACCCCGGGACUGCUUUGGAAACUGUGUAACUUGAGUACAGGAGGGGCAGGCGGAAUUCCUGGUGUAGCGGUGAAAUGCGUAGAUAUCAGGAGGAACACCGGCGGCGAAGGCAGCCUGCUGGACUGAAACUGACGUUGAGGCUCGAAAGCGUGGGGAGCAAACAGGAUUAGAUACCCGAGUAGUC